GCGCCCGUAGCUCAGUGGAUAGAGCACUCGCCUUCUAAGCGAUCGGUCGCUGGUUCGAUCCCAGCCGGGCGCG
Molecule: transfer RNA, 73 nt
Filed under: Cyanothece sp. PCC 7425
Lineage: Bacteria; Bacillati; Cyanobacteriota; Cyanophyceae; Gomontiellales; Cyanothecaceae
Description: tRNA-Arg (TCT) (tRNA-Arg-TCT-1-1)
Rfam family: tRNA
About the family: Transfer RNA (tRNA) molecules are approximately 80 nucleotides in length. Their secondary structure includes four short double-helical elements and three loops (D, anti-codon, and T loops).
Source: RNAcentral